Long non-coding RNA from Mustela erminea (ermine), 100 nucleotides. RefSeq lists it as uncharacterized. Lineage: Eukaryota; Metazoa; Chordata; Mammalia; Carnivora; Mustelidae. The record is from RefSeq and is a predicted model, not a curated record. The transcript is spliced from 3 exons.
UCAAUGAAUGAAAUUUAAGACACAAAUAAAUAGAAAGAUAUUUUGUGCUCAUGGAUUGGAAGAAUUAAUAUGGUUUAAACUUCCAUACUACCCAAACCAA